AUCCAGACUCCUACGGGAGGCAGCAGUGGGGAAUAUUGCACAAUGGGGGAAACCCUGAUGCAGCGACGCCGCGUGAGUGAAGAAGUAUUUCGGUAUGUAAAGCUCUAUCAGCAGGGAAGAAGUUGACGGUACCUGAGUAAGAAGCCCCGGCUAACUACGUGCCAGCAGCCGCGGUAAUACGUAGGGGGCAAGCGUUAUCCGGAUUUACUGGGUGUAAAGGGAGCGUAGACGGCAGUGCAAGUCUGAAGUGAAAGCCCCGGGCUUAACCCGGGAACUGCUUUGGAAACUGUACGGCUGGAGUGCUGGAGAGGUAAGCGGAAUUCCUAGUGUAGCGGUGAAAUGCGUAGAUAUUAGGAGGAACACCAGUGGCGAAGGCGGCUUACUGGACAGUAACUGACGUUGAGGCUCGAAAGCGUGGGGAGCAAACAGGAUUAGAUACCCCGGUACAG
Molecule: ribosomal RNA, 449 nt
Filed under: uncultured bacterium
Lineage: Bacteria
Description: bacterial SSU rRNA
Rfam family: Bacterial small subunit ribosomal RNA
Source: RNAcentral